This 497-nucleotide ribosomal RNA is filed under the name uncultured bacterium. RNAcentral describes it as "partial 16S ribosomal RNA". It matches the Rfam family "Bacterial small subunit ribosomal RNA", at positions 28 to 507 of the family's 1533-position model. The record is from RNAcentral.
GACGAACGCUGGCGGCGUGCCUAAUACAUGCAAGUUGAGCGCUGAAGGUUGGUACUUGUACCAACUGGAUGAGCAGCGAACGGGUGAGUAACGCGUGGGGAAUCUGCCUUUGAGCGGGGGACAACAUUUGGAAACGAAUGCUAAUACCGCAUAAAAACUUUAAACACAAGUUUUAAGUUUGAAAGAUGCAAUUGCAUCACUCAAAGAUGAUCCCGCGUUGUAUUAGCUAGUUGGUGAGGUAAAGGCUCACCAAGGCGAUGAUACAUAGCCGACCUGAGAGGGGGAUCGGCCACAUUGGGACUGAGACACGGCCCAAACUCCUACGGGAGGCAGCAGUAGGGAAUCUUCGGCAAUGGACGAAAGGCUGACCGAGCAACGCCGCGUGAGGGAAGAAGGUUUUCGGAUCGUAAAACUCUGUUGGUAGAGAAGAACGUUGGUGAGAGUGGAAAGCUCAUCAAGUGACGGUAACUACCCAGAAAGGGACGGCUAACUACGUG